This 1944-nucleotide ribosomal RNA is filed under the name Triticum aestivum (bread wheat). Its description in RNAcentral is "partial small subunit ribosomal RNA". The record is from RNAcentral. Lineage: Eukaryota; Viridiplantae; Streptophyta; Magnoliopsida; Poales; Poaceae.
AUGAAUACAACCAUGGAAGCACAAGUAUGCAAAAACUACACGGAGCGUUGGGUCAACAAUAAUCUAGAACCAAGGAAGAGUGUAGACCGCGUGGAAGAUUUUGUCAUCAUCGCGGCUGUGUUUAUGAUCGCCCUUGCCAUUCUCUCGCCCAGGAGGCGUCAAUCUCGGAGCAUCAUUAUAAGAUAUGGAGUGGGCGGAGUGUUUAUAUUAUCCUUCCCACUUCUCUCCUACACUGUGGGACUGAUGCAGGCGGGGAAAAUUAAAAACGAGUUGUACCCGGUGUGGGCAAUGUUUCUGGCCAUGCUUUUUGGAGGCACCAGCUCAAUGUCUGUCCAGAAGCUCGAUCAAAACAAACAACUCAUGAAGCUCUACUGUGAUUGUGCCUUGUUCUCGACGUGCGCUGGCAUGGUAUUAAGUGGUUUUAUUUAUACAUUCGGUAUGAAGCAUAGUUCCAGUCGCCUUGUUCCUUUCAUUGGUUGCUUGUACGUCGUGGGAUUUCUGUUGGGAAUUAAAACGGCUGAGCAGUGGGGUGCUGCAUCGUUAGCAAGCAAACCAUCAUCGGACAAUGGCAUCAAGUGGCUGGCCCGCUACAUGAAGGGUGAGCACAAACUCAGCACAUCCUACGACCCUCGUACCAUGCAGGGAUACAAGUACCCGGUUCUAAUCCAUUCUGGGCGGGCAACAAUUGGAGAAAAUGCAAUAACACCGGAUAACAUUUGGUGUGACAACAUCGGUAUCUUGUCAUCUUACUAUAGACCUCCUAUCCGUCGUCUCAAGGAUCUGUGUCUCUCAUUCGCAUUGUUCCAUCUUGUGGUUCGGCGAUACUUUGGCUACACUUGUCCUGAAUCUGGGCUUGACAAGACUCGUGAUCUUGUUCUUGAUGGGCUAUUGCAAACAGAACAGGACUAUGAAAGAGCAUUUCAAGUGAUUGAAGCAGAGUUGGCUUUCCUCUAUGAUUUCUUCUUCACCAAAUAUGCCUCCAUAAUGUAUGGCAACGAGCUAAGGUAUUAUGCUCUUUCACUCACCCUCACAUUGGUCAGUAUAGCAGUUGGUGCAUGGUCUCUUAGUGUUUUGAACCGGCACGGCUCUAUUUUGGAUAGUCGUUUUGUAGAAACCAGCACACAAGAUGUCCUGGUUACCGUACUAGCGUUGGCUGCACUGUCGGUAUCUCAGUUCCUGCAGAUAUGGUCUUACUGUGUCUCUGACUGGGCAAAAAUAUCCCGGUUGAAGCAUCUCCUUCCAACUGAGAAAGCAGGCAAGCCUGUGGAGUUGCCAAUGCAAGUGAAGAGGGCAGUGGCACGGACUAUCAAAAACUCAACAAACGGCCAUCUUUCACAUGGAACCUCCGCACUAAUGAGACACGGCAUGAGUGAUGAACUAUGCGGUGCAUGCCAGAUCAACGAUGAAUAUACACUGACCGACAACAUACUGGCAUGGCAUGUUGCGACUAGCUUCUGUGAGAUCUCGGAUACAAUCAAACGCCCACACGAUGUGCACCCGAAUCAAGUUGUCGCCACUGUCUUGUCCAAGUAUUGUACCUACUUGGUCGCCUUUGCACCAACGUUGCUUCCAGGCAGUGCACCAGAAACAAAGUGUGCUCUCGAUGAGAUGGUAAAAGAAGCCAAAGAAAUGUUACAUGAUCUCGUCUCUCCAAGGGAAAAGUAUGAAAAGCUUAGUGAACUAGAGUAUGUCGUAGGUAGUGGAAGAAAAUUGUUCACCUAUGGUGCUGUGCUGGGGAAAGCGCUGGAGAGCAUGGACAAUCAUGCGAACCGGUGGGACCUAUUGGCAGAUUUCUGGGCCGAGAUGAUGGUGUAUAUCGCCCCAUCUAACAAUGUAGCUGGUCACAUAGAACUUCUUGCGGAAGGAGGCGAGUUUGUGACUCACGUCUGGGCUUUGCUCAUGCAUGCUGGUAUUCUGGAGCGUCCCAGUACUACAAUCCCCUAG